AAAUUCUCAACGAUGGAUAUCUUGGUUCCCAUAACGAUGAAGAACGCAGCGAAGUGCGAUAAGCAGUGCGAAUUGCAGAACCGUGAGUCAUCAGAUUUUUGAACGCAAAUGGCGCCAGUUGGAAUCCCAAUUGGCAUGCUUGUUUCAGUGUCUUGUAUCCCCCUCAACCAUAUCUUAAUGUGAGAGAUGCCCUUCUCU
This 198-nucleotide ribosomal RNA is filed under the name Metaurostylopsis cheni. RNAcentral describes it as "5.8S ribosomal RNA". The stretch from base 2 to 153 matches the Rfam family "5.8S ribosomal RNA". Rfam says of the family: 5.8S ribosomal RNA (5.8S rRNA) is a component of the large subunit of the eukaryotic ribosome. It is transcribed by RNA polymerase I as part of the 45S precursor that also contains 18S and 28S rRNA. Lineage: Eukaryota; Ciliophora; Spirotrichea; Urostylida; Urostylidae. The record is from RNAcentral.